AGAUUGAACGCUGGCGGAAUGCUUUACACAUGCAAGUCGAACGGCAGCACGGGGGCAACCCUGGUGGCGAGUGGCGAACGGGUGAGUAAUACAUCGGAACGUGCCCAGUCGUGGGGGAUAACUACGCGAAAGCGUAGCUAAUACCGCAUACGAUCUACGGAUGAAAGCGGGGGACUCGCAAGAGCCUCGCGCGAUUGGAGCGGCCGAUGGCAGAUUAGGUAGUUGGUGGGGUAAAGGCUCACCAAGCCUGCGAUCUGUAGCUGGUCUGAGAGGACGACCAGCCACACUGGGACUGAGACACGGCCCAGACUCCUACGGGAGGCAGCAGUGGGAAUUUUGGACAAUGGGCGCAAGCCUGAUCCAGCCAUUCCGCGUGCAGGAUGAAGGCCUUCGGUUGUAACUGCUUUGUACGGAACGAAAGUCCUUUCUAACGUACAGGGUCAUGACGGUACCGUAAGAAUAAGCACGCUAACUACGUGCAGCACGCCG
RNAcentral lists this ribosomal RNA (489 nucleotides) under uncultured soil bacterium. RNAcentral's name for it is "bacterial SSU rRNA". It matches the Rfam family "Bacterial small subunit ribosomal RNA", at positions 26 to 517 of the family's 1533-position model. The record is from RNAcentral.